UACGAAGGGGGCUAGCGUUGCUCGGAAUCACUGGGCGUAAAGCGCACGUAGGCGGUCUUUUAAGUCGGUGGUGAAAUCCUGGAGCUCAACUCCAGAACUGCCUUCGAUACUGGAAGACUUGAGUCCGGGAGAGGUGAGUGGAACUGCGAGUGUAGAGGUGAAAUUCGUAGAUAUUCGCAAGAACACCAGUGGCGAAGGCGGCUCACUGGCCCGGUACUGACGCUGAGGUGCGAAAGCGUGGGGAGCAAACAGG
RNAcentral lists this ribosomal RNA (253 nucleotides) under uncultured bacterium. RNAcentral describes it as "partial 16S ribosomal RNA". It matches the Rfam family "Bacterial small subunit ribosomal RNA", at positions 524 to 776 of the family's 1533-position model. The record is from RNAcentral.